Molecule: ribosomal RNA, 262 nt
Filed under: uncultured Staphylococcus sp.
Lineage: Bacteria; Bacillati; Bacillota; Bacilli; Caryophanales; Staphylococcaceae
Description: partial 16S ribosomal RNA
Rfam family: Bacterial small subunit ribosomal RNA
Source: RNAcentral
CGGACGGGUGAGUAACACGUGGAUAACCUACCUAUAAGACUGGGAUAACUUCGGGAAACCGGAGCUAAUACCGGAUAAUAUAUUGAACCGCAUGGUUCAAUAGUGAAAGACGGUUUUGCUGUCACUUAUAGAUGGAUCCGCGCCGCAUUAGCUAGUUGGUAAGGUAACGGCUUACAAGGCAGCGAUGCGUAGCCGACCUGAGAGGGUGAUCGGCCACACUGGAACUGAGACACGGUCCAGACUCCUACGGGAGGCAGCAGGU